AAUUCUCAACCUGUCAAGCUUUGUUUCUAAAGCUUGUCAGGCUUGGAUCUUGGGAGUUUGUCGGUUCUAGCGAGUCGGCUCUCCUUAAAUGUAUUAGCAAGAUUAAUCGCUGUAUUAUCUUUGAUAUGAUAAUUAUCUAUAUCAUCGAUGAAAUAAGCGUUUUCCUUCACGGGAAAGAUCUGGCUUUCUAAUCGUCUUUCGAGACAACUAGAUUGAAUC
RNAcentral lists this unclassified non-coding RNA (219 nucleotides) under Entoloma poliopus. RNAcentral's name for it is "partial internal transcribed spacer 2". The record is from RNAcentral. Lineage: Eukaryota; Fungi; Basidiomycota; Agaricomycetes; Agaricales; Entolomataceae.